Molecule: non-coding RNA, 72 nt
Organism: Cricetulus griseus (Chinese hamster)
Lineage: Eukaryota; Metazoa; Chordata; Mammalia; Rodentia; Cricetidae
Source: Rfam
GAAAAUGUAGCUCAGUGGAAGAGCACUUGCUCAGCACGUAUGAGGGCCUGGGUUCAAAUCCUAGCACCUCCA